RNAcentral lists this ribosomal RNA (497 nucleotides) under uncultured bacterium. RNAcentral describes it as "partial 16S ribosomal RNA". It matches the Rfam family "Bacterial small subunit ribosomal RNA", at positions 28 to 507 of the family's 1533-position model. The record is from RNAcentral.
GAUGAACGCUGGCGGCGUGCCUAAUACAUGCAAGUCGAGCGAACAGACGAGGAGCUUGCUCCUCUGACGUUAGCGGCGGACGGGUGAGUAACACGUGGAUAACCCACCUAUACGACUGGGAUAACUUCGGGAAACCGGAGCUUACACCGGAUAAUAUAUUGAACCGCAUGGUUCAAUAGUGAAAGACGGUUUUGCUGUCACUUAUAGAUGGAUCCGCGCCGCAUUAGCUAGUUGGGAAGGUAACGGCUUACCAAGGCAACGAUGCGUAGCCGAGCUGAGAGGGGGAUCGGCCACACGGGAACGUGGACACGCUCCAGACUCCUACGGGAGGCAGCAGUAGGGAAUCUUCCGCAGUGGGCGAAAGCCUGACGGAGCAACGCCGCGUGAGUGAUGACGGUCUUCGGCUCGUAAAACUCUGUUAUUAGGGAAGAACAGAUGUGUAAGUAAAUAUGCACGUCUUGACGGUACCUAAUCAGAAAGCCACGGCUAACUACGUG